Molecule: ribosomal RNA, 465 nt
Filed under: uncultured bacterium
Lineage: Bacteria
Description: partial 16S ribosomal RNA
Rfam family: Bacterial small subunit ribosomal RNA
Source: RNAcentral
GACGAACGCUGGCGGCGUGCUUUACACAUGCAAGUCGAACGGAAAGGCCCUGCUUGCAGGGUACUCGAGUGGCGAACGGGUGAGUAACACGUGGGUGAUCUGCCCUGCACUUCGGGAUAAGCCUGGGAAACUGGGUCUAAUACCGGAUAGGAGCCAUUUUUAGUGUGAUGGUUGGAAAGUUUUUUCGGUGUAGGAUGAGCUCGCGGCCUAUCAGCUUGUUGGUGGGGUAAUGGCCUACCAAGGCGGCGACGGGUAGCCGGCCUGAGAGGGUGGACGGCCACAUUGGGACUGAGAUACGGCCCAGACUCCUACGGGAGGCAGCAGUGGGGAAUAUUGCACAAUGGGCGCAAGCCUGAUGCAGCGACGCCGCGUGGGGGAUGACGGCCUUCGGGUUGUAAACUCCUUUCGCUAGGGACGAAGCUUUUUGUGACGGUACCUAGAGAAGAAGCACCGGCUAACUACGUG